RNAcentral lists this transfer RNA (93 nucleotides) under Bacteroidota bacterium. RNAcentral's name for it is "Bacteroidetes bacterium (hydrocarbon metagenome) tRNA-Ser". It matches the Rfam family "tRNA". Rfam says of the family: Transfer RNA (tRNA) molecules are approximately 80 nucleotides in length. Their secondary structure includes four short double-helical elements and three loops (D, anti-codon, and T loops). Lineage: Bacteria; Pseudomonadati; Bacteroidota. The record is from RNAcentral.
GGAGAGGUGGCCGAGUGGCUGAAGGCAACGGUUUGCUAAACCGUCGUGGGGUGUAAAGCUUCACCGCGAGUUCGAAUCUCGCCCUCUCCGCAA